Artibeus jamaicensis (Jamaican fruit-eating bat) is the source of this 289-nucleotide long non-coding RNA. RefSeq lists it as uncharacterized. Lineage: Eukaryota; Metazoa; Chordata; Mammalia; Chiroptera; Phyllostomidae. The transcript has 3 exons. The record is from RefSeq and is a predicted model, not a curated record.
ACCCACCUUCCUUACACAGCCCGAAGUCCGCGAUCUUCAGGAAACCCUGGGCAUCCAGCAGCAGGCCUGUCUUCCACCUGAGGAUCCGAGACUCCAGAUGAGGAAACUGAGGUGCAGAGGUGAGAGGGGACCUGCCCCAGGGCACCCCACUGACUGCAGGUGCUAAGAAGAGAACCCAGGCCUGGCUGGCCCCAGAGAGUCGCCACCGCAAAGCCCCAGGAACCUCCUGGUGCCAAGAGCCCAGGCCAGCCGCCCAGGCCCUCCCCAGGCCAGGUGCUCCGCGGCGUCA